AACGAACGCUGGCGGCAUGCCUAACACAUGCAAGUCGAACGAGACCUUCGGGUCUAGUGGCGCACGGGUGCGUAACGCGUGGGAACCUGCCCUUAGGUUCGGAAUAACUCCCCGAAAGGGGUGCUAAUACCGGAUAAUGUCUUCGGACCAAAGAUUUAUCGCCUUUGGAUGGUCCCGCGUUGGAUUAGCUAGUUGGUAGGGUAAAAGCAUACCAAGGCGACGAUCCAUAGCUGGUCUGAGAGGAUGAUCAGCCACACUGGGACUGAGACACGGCCCAGACUCCUACGGGAGGCAGCAGUGGGGAAUAUUGGACAAUGGGCGAAGGCCUGAUCCAGCAAUGCCGCGUGAGUGAUGAAGGCCUUAGGGUUGUAAAGCUCUUUUACCCGGGAUGAUAAUGACAGUACCGGGAGAAUAAGCUCCGGCUAACUCCGUG
RNAcentral lists this ribosomal RNA (433 nucleotides) under uncultured bacterium. RNAcentral's name for it is "partial 16S ribosomal RNA". It matches the Rfam family "Bacterial small subunit ribosomal RNA", at positions 29 to 507 of the family's 1533-position model. The record is from RNAcentral.